Long non-coding RNA from Oncorhynchus tshawytscha (Chinook salmon), 1873 nucleotides. The record is from Ensembl. Lineage: Eukaryota; Metazoa; Chordata; Actinopteri; Salmoniformes; Salmonidae.
CGUUCAGCAGCUCAUUGUGAAGGGUAAAUACAUAGACAUUUUAGUACGUUGAACUGAAGCCUUGUAGGCUUUAAUCCCAUAACACAAUCUAAACAUUACAAGGGUCUGGUGUUGCUUCAUAAGCCGCUGACACACAAAACAUGUUUCCAGGAAGAUGUUGCAGUUCUCAGAGCAGACUGUGUUUGUGACAACUCAUAACUCAAUGAAGGGGCCGUAUAGAAAGCCUGUUUGAAUUGCACUUAGUAACAAAAUGCCAGUUCAGCUAAAUGUGCAGGUGAGAUGGUCAUUACAUCAUAUUUACACAAUGUACCAAACGGGAACGGUGCUACUCUGCCACAGUGAUACAUAAUGUUUAGUUGACAAGAGCACAAGUGUUGCUUAUGCUCCUCGUCGUUGCCAGAGAGAAAGAACGCGCGCGCAAGAGAGAGCGACAGCGCUCCACACAUGCAUGUAGUCUAGCUGGAACAUUCCAAUCACCUGAGCUACACUAGAGCCUUCCAUGUGGUCUUAAUGGCUGAUGUAUUACCAGAGGAAGAGAGAGAGGCUUGGCAUCACACUCAGGUCCAUAGCUCCCCCCCUCAGCCCCACUGCUCCUUCAGCCCCUGUCUGCGUCCCAAAUGGCACCCUGUUAUCUAUAUAGCGCACCAGAACCCUCGUCAAAAGAAGUGCACUCACUAUAUGCCACUUGGGACGCAGACCCUCCUCACUGGUUGGCUGGCUGCCAUUUGGCUCCGUGGUGAAGACACUCCGCUGGUCACAUGAUACCCCCCUGGGUCUGCUUUACCAGUUUGUUAUUCACAACCCCCCAGGAGAGGAGAGGGGAGGGGCUGAGAUGAGAGGGGAGUGGCUGAGAGGAGAGGGGCUGAGAGGAGGAGGGAGGGGCUAAUAGGUGAGAGGAGGGGCUGAGAGGAGAGGGGCUGAGAGGAGGAGGGAGGGGCUAAUAGGUGAGAGGAGGGGCUGAGAGGAGAGCGGAGGGGCUGAGAGGAGGAGGGAGGGGCUAAUAGGUGAGAGGAGGGGCUGAGCUGUAUACCUGGGACCCAGUGUGACAUAGGCCUUCAGCUGAAAUGUUGUUACACUUCAUUUGAUUUUUUAUUUAACCUUUAUUUAACUAGGCAAGUCAGUUAAGAAUUCUUAUUUACAACGACGCCCUACUUGUAAAGCCCCGUUGGCCAAACCCUCCCCUAACCCAGAUGAUGUCCCUGUGAGACUCCCGAUCACGGCCAGUUGUGAUACAGCCCGGGAUCAAACCUGGGUCUGUAGGGAAGCCUCAAGCACUGCGAUGCAGAGCCUUAGACUGCUGCACCACUCGGGAGGCCAAAUGUGUGGAACUAUUAUGAGGGGAGAACAACUCAUCUAAAACUGUUACCUGGGAAAAUACGAUGAAUGUAUGAACUGAGAGAUGAACAUGUUGUAGCGGCCUACAAUAUACAUCUGAAUUGCAUGCAACGCUAUUUUACUGUAGUACACCACAGCUUGAUGCUCUUAUAGGAACAUCUAAACUGCCACUAGGGGACCCCACUACCUUCAUUACAGUAGCUAAAAAUGGUCCUCCACUCUACUGCUCUCGGUGAAACAUCACAUCAGUUUUAUAUUGUUUCCUAAACUAUUUGGUCGAUUUCGGCUAUUAGUCUGUCAGUCAGUUGAAGCAUUUGAUGUAAACACGAAAACUUCCACAGGACAAGUGCCAGGUGAGAAGUGUCAGUCAAGCGACACUGCCUUUAUACACCCCUUCGCUGUUUUGAUAGAUCCUAUCUGGUCUGGACCACGUCAGUCCGUGUGAGGAAAUUAUAUAUAUAUAUAAAAAAACACUAUUGGAAGGAGGUGAAGUGUAUUUUGAGAGGUUUUGCAGAGAGAUUUAUUGCAUAAAGUCAAG